CCUCAAAUCAGGUAGGACUACCCGCUGAACUUAAGCAUAUCAAUAAGCGGAGGAAAAGAAACUAACAAGGAUUCCCUUAGUAACGGCGAGUGAACCGGGAAGAGCUCAAAUUUGUAAUCUGGCUGUCUUCGAUAGUCCGAGUUGUAAUCUAUAGAAGCGUUUUCCGUGCUGAACUGUGUAUAAGUCCCUUGGAACAGGGUAUCAAAGAGGGUGACAAUCCCGUACUUUACACAAUCAUCAGUGCUCUGUGAUACGUUCUCUACGAGUCGAGUUGUUUGGGAAUGCAGCUCAAAAUGGGUGGUAAAUUCCAUCUAAAGCUAAAUAUUGGCGAAAGACCGAUAGCGAACAAGUACCGUGAGGGAAAGAUGAAAAGCACUUUGGAAAGAGAGUUAAACAGUACGUGAAAUUGUUAAAAGGGAAACGAUUGAAGUCAGUCGUGUUUAUUGGAUUCAGCCGGUCUUCGGUGUACUUCCUUUAAACGGGUCAACAUCAGUUUUGUUCGGUGGAUAAAGGUAUUAGGAAUGUGGCUUCUUCGGAAGUGUUAUAGCCUAGUAUUGCAUACACUGGAGGAGACUGAGGACUGCAGCUCGCCUUUAUGGCCGGGGUUCGCCCACGUUCGAGCUUAGGAUGUUGACAUAAU
This 640-nucleotide ribosomal RNA is filed under the name uncultured Basidiomycota. RNAcentral's name for it is "LSU rRNA". It matches the Rfam family "Eukaryotic large subunit ribosomal RNA", at positions 1 to 635 of the family's 3401-position model. The record is from RNAcentral. Lineage: Eukaryota; Fungi; Basidiomycota.